Molecule: long non-coding RNA, 946 nt
Organism: Echinops telfairi (small Madagascar hedgehog)
Lineage: Eukaryota; Metazoa; Chordata; Mammalia; Afrosoricida; Tenrecidae
Exons: 3
Source: RefSeq, a predicted model, not a curated record
GGAUUUUUAUGGCGCCCGGAAGCGUUUGCACAAACAGUGUUUUCUUUAAUUAAUAAGGCAGAUGCCAGAGGGGAGCUGCUAUCAGGAGUUCAAGGAGAAAGAGAAUGUUUUGAAACGGAUUGUGGUCGCAAUUGUACAGCACUGCCUGAAGUGAUUGAGCGAUGGAAUGUGAUGAACUCUGUAAGAACGCCCAGUAAAAUGAUUAUAAAAAGCAAACGGACCCACAGCAGUACCCUAAGUCAAGGAACGAAUGAAGUUAGAUGCCAUCUCCCGGCAGCAGAGGGCUCUGCUGUGGAAGCGCACAGGUGCUUGGGAAACAGGGAUUGUGGGAUCUGGAUUGACCCCAGCCAUUCAGACCAACAAGUCCAUCAUCACUUCCUGAACUGGCCGGAGGGCCCAUAAGUUUUCUUCUAGCGGGCGGGGCUGGGGGUGGAAAGGGAGACAACAUCUGUAGGCACAACCAACCAUGGUGUGUUACCCUCCAGUCACAUGCUGCGAGCCAGCGAAGGGGCCGAUCUCGGCGUGGGUAUAGGCUAAGCUGCAGAGAGGAGCAGGGUUUGCAAGGGAAGGGCAGAUGCAGACACAUGGAAUGUCCAGGCUCUCUGACACUAUCCGUUUGGGGGACGAUGAGUAGCCUCUGGCCAAGAGGAGUGCGAGACUGGACCCGCGGCAGCAGUGAGGAGUCCCGUGUGACGCAAGCACUUACUGCCAGCUGAAAGGCUGAAGGAUGCAGGGUCCCGUGGGUGUCAGGCGGACCGCGACCUUUGGAACCAAAUACCUUCGACGGGACCAAGCAGACUUUCUUGCUCAAAAAAUAUUGGCUGAUGACCAGGACGACGGCCUAAGGAGAAACUAUGUCCCACCAGAGUUUUUAAGGAAAACAGUCUUCUUUAAGCCACUGACAAGUGGGACACACACUUGCUGCGAGACAUUCCUGAUGACAAAC